RNAcentral lists this long non-coding RNA (2114 nucleotides) under Nicotiana tabacum (common tobacco). Its description in RNAcentral is "long non-coding RNA (NTAB_LNC004196)". Lineage: Eukaryota; Viridiplantae; Streptophyta; Magnoliopsida; Solanales; Solanaceae. The record is from RNAcentral.
AAAUGAUGAUGAGGUAUUAUAAGGUUCUAACGACAUGCUUGUUCAUCUGAUUUUUGCUCAUAACAUCUAGAAUGAGCAUGAGCUAUGUCAGGUCCUUCCUCUUUGGUCAUUUUUCCGUAAAUCUCUGUUCUUAUUUUUGCAGUUAAAUAUCCAUCUUGAGCUUAGAUAAACGAACGAUACCAUUGAAAAAACCCCAUAUCUGCUGCAGCCGAAGCACAUCGGUUGAACACCUCUGUGAAGUCAGAAUUCCUUUCAUGUCAUACAGAAAAAAAAUUUCAUUCCACUAUCCUUGUCAAAAGUAGAAAUGAAACAUAUUUAUAUGGAGGCCUUAGUGACCUAAAACAUGGAACUCUCUGUAUUAGACACAGGACAAAUUCAAAACUUUCUGUGCUGCACAAUCUUAUUCCUGAUGCAAGGAUAGACACUUAUAUCUUCUGAUUCAGCUUUAAUGUCUCGAUCUGAUGAUACAUGUUUGUUUUUUUAAUGGUUAUGCCUCUAAAUAUCUUCAGAUAGGAUUUGCUUCCAUAGUUUCUGCAGGCUGUUCAUUUUUCCAUUUUCCCUCAAUGACCAUUUUUGUAAUGAUAUUCUGAGUGCAGCUUGUUGUUCAGUAGACAAAAUCAUAAGCCAAAGAUGUUGAAUGAGUGGCAGCAAAGGACAACAGUGUUGUUGACAAUCCACUGUUAACCAUUCAACUGAAUGGAUGCAUCAAAUACGCUAGCCCGGGUUAUCAGUGGGUCCAAGGUUACUCUGCAAACCUUGCAAAUGCGAGAAAUUUUUAAAGGAAUCAAUUCUAGUGCCCAUUACAUAAAAAUCUGGUGGGUUGGAAAUAAAAUGAGGAAUCUAGUUCUGUUCCUUUUACAACAACAACAACAACAACAACAACAACAUACCCGGUAUAUUCCCACAUGUGGGGUCUGGGUUGUGUAGUAUGUACGCAGACCUUACCCUUAUCUUGUGUAGGUAGAGAGGCUGUUUCCAAGAGACCCUCGGCUUUGGCCAAGUUCUAUUCUAUUAUCUCAUAAAAUUUAUGUUUGUUGAUGUUUCCAUUAAGUCCCAUUUUUUCUUUGUUGUUUCAGAUUCUUGUUUACGUGCAAAAGAAUUCUGAAGUAUGAUGAUUAUAUAGUUGUUAUGUGAGUUUCUUGAUUCUGGUUUGUAGAAGGAUGAGGGCAGGGGAGAAAAGAAGAUAGGGGGUGUAUGUUCAUUGGAGAACAUGUGGAACCAAUCUUUAGGAAUUGUUUUAGUUUUCUCUGAUUAGCAGUAGACCGCUACUUUCCAGUUCUGCAGAUAUCUAUCCUUCCUUGUAUAAAUAAUUUAGUGUUUUUUUUUUCUUUUUCAUUUUAUACUAGUUUUUGGUUUGCUUACUUACAAGCAUUGAGAUUUGUUUGAUCUCCUUAGAGCUACGGUAAUUUAUUCAAGGAGAUUCUGAAUUGAUAUAUCUUCAUGAGCACCAAGUCACAGAAACAGACACUAGAUUUGUCCUUCUUCCAACUCUUCCCAUUUUGUAAUAUUUUGUUUUUACAACUCUCCCUCUUCUUUUCUAUUCAAUAUAAUAAGCAAAAAGAAAGAAAAAGGAAAGAAAAGUAUACUUUGUUGAUUUGUUCCCUUCCAAUUUGUUUUAUAUGUUUACUAUACAGUGAAAAUUUCUGUCUUGAUCCCGGAAGUAUAUAUUUUGGUUAUAACAAAAUUGAUGGUUGUUUUGGGAAGAGAAUAAAGGAUGUGGUCGCGUGGCUUGCUUGUUGAGUGAUUGCAUCUAUUCUUCAAGCAAGACCGAAAGCAUUAUGUUGUUGUAUUAGGAGAUAUCUAGUAUCUUGAGGUUUUCAUUCAAUUGGGCAUCAGCUCAGGUUCUGAAGAGUAACGAGUAGUGCAUCUAGCUUUUUAUGGAUAUUUCGAAAUACCAGUCUUCUUAUCUUAAUUUGGCAAAUACGUGAUGGAUCAUAGACUCUUUGUUUGAUCAAUUAUGUGCAGGUAUCUCCAGUUUUAGACUUGCUGGACCACCACUUGAAAAUGUUAUGCUUACAAAUCUUAAGUUGAGUUGUUCAUAUCAUUACCAAGAAUACCUACCUGAAAGCUCUGUAUUGGUGAAAUUAACCAACAACAAAUACCAAAAAGUACUU